This 2827-nucleotide unclassified non-coding RNA is filed under the name Camponotus floridanus (Florida carpenter ant). RNAcentral describes it as "vacuolar protein sorting-associated protein 41 homolog, transcript variant X1". Lineage: Eukaryota; Metazoa; Arthropoda; Insecta; Hymenoptera; Formicidae. The record is from RNAcentral.
ACUUAACCUGACUUGAGUUCUAUUAUUGAGCUCACAUCGCCACUCAUCUCUUAUCUGUGAUUAUAUCUUUCUUUCUCUCUCUCAUUUAACUUUGAAAUAAUUUUGACAAUUCUGUUUGACUCAUUGUACUCUGUAAUAACAUUGCGUCGAGAAAGUUUGAGAAAAACAAGAAUGGAGUCCACAUCUAGCAAAGAGGAGCAAAACAAUCAAGAAGAUUCAGAUUCUUCAGAAAUGGAUGAGGUAGAACCCAGACUAAAGUAUAUACGGAUACGCAAUGAUUUAGAACAUAUUCUGCAAAAUGAUGCAGCUAGUUGUAUUGCUGUGCAUCCAAAGUUUCUCUGUUUGGGAUCACAUUGGGGAAUGAUCCAUCUUCUAGAUCAUCAGGGUAAUAAUGUAAAGUCUAAAACACUACAGGCACAUACAGUGGCAGUUAAUCAAAUCUCCAUAGAUCAUAAUGGGGACUUCAUCGCUUCUUGCAGUGAUGAUGGAAAAGUUUUCAUUUAUGGAUUAUACAGUACAGAGGAUAAUCACAAUAUGAGCAUGGGUAGACUAGUUAAAAGCAUAGCAAUUGACCCAAAUUAUUAUAAAAGUGGCAGUGGCAGAAGAUUUAUUACAGGUGAUGACAAGUUGGUGCUCUAUGAAAAGACUUUUUUGGCCAGGAUGAAGCCAACAGUACUCUGUGAAGCGGAAGGUGGAGUCAAAUCCGUUGCAUGGUCUGGUCGCUUUGUAGCAUGGGCCUCUGAUACUGGUGUGAGAGUCUAUGAUCUCGAUGCUAGAUGUUCAUUGGGACUUAUCAAAUGGUCUCGUACUCCAGAUACAUUGCCAGAGCACUAUAGAUGCAAUUUACAGUGGUCAGACAGUAAAACAUUGUUAAUUGGAUGGGUGGACAUUGUACGCAUUUGUCAUAUCAGAAAACGUACCAUGCAGGAGAUGGUGAAUCGAGAUUUGCCUGAAUUUGUAGUAGAUCCAGUAUCUACAUUUCAAGUAGAUUUUUAUAUAUCUGGUAUAGCGCCAUUGAAAAAUCAAUUGGUAUUGCUGGGAUGCUUAAAAGAAUUAGACGAAGAUGGAAAAAAUCAACGUCCGACACUGCACGUGGUUGAACCAAAAUAUCAGGAUUUUUCAGUGCUAUGUGCAAACUCACUUACUCUACGUGGCUACAAAGAAUACAGCUGCAAUGAUUAUCAUUUGGAUUGUUUAAAGGAGGAAAAUAGGUUUUUUAUCGUAAGUCCAAAAGAUAUCGUGGUAGCUAGUUUAUACGAUACAGAUGACAGAAUCGAAUGGUUAUUGAGCCACGGGAAAUUUGAGCAAGCUUUAGAAGCAGUAACAACGAACAAUGGCAAAGAUUGCAAAAGGCAUACUGUAUUAGACGUGGGACGAAUUUAUUUGGAUCACUUGUUAGCAUAUGAGAAAUAUGAUGAGGCUGGAAAACUUUGCCUGAAAAUUCUAGGAAGAAAUAAAAAGUUGUGGGAAGAAGAGGUUUAUAAAUUCGCCAGACUGCACCAGUUACGCUCUAUUUCAUCUUAUUUGCCUCGAGGCGAUGUCACCCUUGAUCCACUAGUGUAUGAGAUGGUGCUAUAUGAGUAUUUAAAGAUGGAUCCCGACGGUUUCUUGCAGUUGGUCAAAGAAUGGUCUCCAACCUUAUACACAGUGGCAGCGGUAGUUAAUGGCGUAUUGGAGCAUUUACUAGUCCACAAUCAACGACAGAAUGUAUUAUUGGAAGCAUUAGCUAUUUUAUACAUCCAUGAUGGAAAAUACGAUAAAGCACUCGCCAUGUACUUGAAACUGCGACACAAAGACGUCUUUCAGCUGAUUCAGAAGUAUCAGUUGUAUAAUUCUGUUUAUGAUAUGAUCGAAGGUCUAAUGGAUCUAGACACUGAACGUGCCAUACAAUUUUUUUUGGAAAAAGAUAGAGUAGCAUCUGAUGUCAUUGUACAGAAAUUACAACAUAAUCAUCGUUAUUUAUACUUGUAUUUAGAUGCCUUAGACAAGAGAGAUACUAAAGACUCUAAGGGCAAAUAUCAUGGCUUACUAGUGCGACUAUAUGCUGAUUAUUCAAGAGACAAGUUAUUGCCGCUUCUACGUCGCUCUGAUAAUUAUCCAAUACAACAAGCUUUAGAUAUCUGUAGCCAGCGUCAAUUUUAUCCGGAAAUGGUGUAUUUGUUGGGCAGGAUAGGAAACACUUCUGAAGCUUUGGCGCUCAUGACGAGAGAACUCGACGAUAUGGAGAGUGCGAUUGCAUUUUGUCAAGAACACGAUGACGAAGAAUUAUGGAACGAUCUAGUUAAUUACUCGCUCGACAAACCUACGGCAAUUACAUUUCUUCUUCAAAAGAUUGGCACCUACGUUGAUCCCCGACUUAUGGUACAAAGGAUAGAACCUACUUUGGAAAUUCCAGGGCUGAAGAAAGCAUUAGUCAAAAUGAUGUGCGAUUAUAAUCUGCAAGUAUCUGUUCAAGAAGGUUGCAAAAAGAUACUAUCUAAUGAUUAUUUCAAUCUCCAUGAACGACUUGUUCGUUGUCAGCAAAAAGGCAUAUUUGUCGAUGAUGAUCAAAUGUGUGGAGCUUGCCAUAGGAAGAUAAUUGUAAGAGAGCUACGGAAUAUAGUUGUAUUUUAUUGUAAGCAUUGUUUUCACGAGGAUUGUCUACCUAACUUUGAAUUUGUUGAAAAUUGUGUGAUAUGCAACUCGCAGGAGAUGACACUUGGCAGAAAAUGAUAAAAGUAAUAGCACUAUAUUAUGUGACAUGUGCAAUAUCCAAAGUUCAAAGAUGAUCUAUCAGAUAUUCUGUGUAUUGAGCUAUAUUGUAAGCCUGGAAAAAAAGAGAAAAAAG